Sander lucioperca (pikeperch) is the source of this 551-nucleotide long non-coding RNA. RefSeq lists it as uncharacterized. The record is from RefSeq and is a predicted model, not a curated record. Lineage: Eukaryota; Metazoa; Chordata; Actinopteri; Perciformes; Percidae. The transcript is spliced from 3 exons.
CUCUGAAAAUGGACAAGUUUUUUACAACUUGACCUACUUUCACUUAGCUAACUACGGUGCAGUAAAGUCAAUCAGAUGUCCGUGAUCUGCGUAACGACAGCACAGUGAGAUGUUUGCCUUCAACAGAGCGACAGUAAUAACCUAAUAUACCAUCAUUACUGAGAUUAAAAUACAUUCUUGGUUAUGUUUGCACUGAAAAACGCAUUCAAUAAACAGAAACAUAACUUGUGCACAUGAACUGAUGCGCAAUAUUAGCUCACACAUAAAAUAGCACCCUCGUGAAUUAACCUACUGUUUCUAACGUACAUUCAUAAAUCCUGUAUAACAUCGUCCCGUACCUACAGGACAUCAGACUUACUUAUUGAUGCACGCACACAGUAGUGUCGACAAACUUAGUCCAAUGAGGGGAGAAAGGAAAGUGUGAUAGCGUUCCACGUUAAAGCUUUUUUCUCUCUCGCUCGAGACCGCUGUGUCCAACGUUACUAGCAGGUAGAGAGAGUAGAGCAGAUAGAGGGGAAAAAAGUAGCUUCCACUUAAGGGGCCCAUCUUGC